CUACUCAGCGCAUGACAAUACGAUUGUUGGUCUUUUGAAUAGUCUUGGAGUUUUAGAGCCACAUAGACCACCAUUUGCAUCGAGUGUACAUUUGGAAUUAUACAAAAAUGGAAAAGAAGAGCAUUACAUUCAAAUUUUCUACAGAAAAUCGGAUGAAGAAGUUCUUCUACCAUUGAAUAUACCGAAUUGCGGAGAAAAGUGUUCGCUGAAUCAAUUAUACAAAUUGUACAAUGAUAUUAUACCAGAUCGUGAUCAUGACACUGAAUGCCGCCUUCCCAACUAGAUAUAAAAAUGAUAAAUGUUCAAUAAAUUCUAAAUAAUAUCUGUAAAAAUAAAUCGACAAACGAAAAUGAAAAAAAUGAAUAAAA
This is a long non-coding RNA of Contarinia nasturtii (swede midge), 368 nucleotides long. RefSeq lists it as uncharacterized. The record is from RefSeq and is a predicted model, not a curated record. NCBI's taxonomy places the organism in Eukaryota, Metazoa, Arthropoda, Insecta, Diptera, Cecidomyiidae. The transcript is spliced from 2 exons.